AGCAGUAGCCGCGGUAAUACGGAGGGAGCUAGCGUUAUUCGGAAUUACUGGGCGUAAAGCGCACGUAGGCGGCUUUGUAAGUUAGAGGUGAAAGCCUGGAGCUCAACUCCAGAAUUGCCUUUAAGACUGCAUCGCUUGAAUCCAGGAGAGGUGAGUGGAAUUCCGAGUGUAGAGGUGAAAUUCGUAGAUAUUCGGAAGAACACCAGUGGCGAAGGCGGCUCACUGGACUGGUAUUGACGCUGAGGUGCGAAAGCGUGGGGAGCAAACAGGAUUAGAGACCCGCGUAGUCCCUGUCUCUUAUAC
Molecule: ribosomal RNA, 303 nt
Filed under: uncultured bacterium
Lineage: Bacteria
Description: partial 16S ribosomal RNA
Rfam family: Bacterial small subunit ribosomal RNA
Source: RNAcentral